GUUGUAUGGUUAAGAGACAAAGCGUACAAGGUGGAUGCCUUGGCAAUCAGAGGCGAAGAAGGACGUGCUAAUCUGCGAAAAGCUCGGAUGAGUCGAUAAGAGGCGUUUAAUCCGAGAUAUCCGAAUGGGGAAACCCAGUGGGUGAAGAACCCACUAUCAUUACCUGAAUCCAUAGGGUAAUGAGGCGAACCGGGAGAACUGAAACAUCUAAGUACCCCGAGGAAAAGAAAUCAACCGAGAUUUUGUGAGUAGCGGCGAGCGAAAGCGAAAGAGCCUGUUAGUGAUAGCGACAGAGACAGAGGAAUGUGCUGGGAAGCACAGCGAGACAGGGUGAUAGCCCCGUACUCGAAGUCUGGGUCGUGGUACUAAGCUAACGAGAAGUAGGGCGGGACACGUGAUAUCCUGUUUGAAGAAGGGGGGCCCAUCCUCCAAGGCUAAAUACUCCUGAUUGACCGAUAGUGAAGCAGUACUGUGAAGGAAAGGCGAAAAGAACCGGGGUGACCGGAGUGAAAUAGAACCUGAAACCUUGUACGUACAAGCAGUGGGAGCCCGAAAGGGUGACUGCGUACCUUUUGUAUAAUGGGUCAGCGAGUUAUAUUUUGUAGCGAGGUUAACCGGAUAGGGGAGCCGAAGGGAAACCGAGUCUUAACUGGGCGCUUAGUUGCAAGGUAUAGACCCGAAACCCGGUGAUCUAGCCAUGGGCAGGUUGAAGGUUGGGUAACACUAACUGGAGGACCGAACCGACUAAUGUUGAAAAAUUAGCGGAUGACUUGUGGCUGGGGGUGAAAGGCCAAUCAAACCGGGAGAUAGCUGGUUCUCCCCGAAAUCUAUUUAGGUAGAGCCUUGAGCGGACACCUUUGGGGGUAGAGCACUGUUUCGGCUAGGGGGCCAUCCCGGCUUACCCAACCCGAUGCAAACUACGAAUACCGAAGAGUGAUACUCAGGAGACACACGGCGGGUGCUAACGUCCGUCGUGGAGAGGGAAACAACCCAGACCGCCAGCUAAGGUCCCAAAGUACUAAUUAAGUGGGAAACGAAGUGGGAAGGCUUAGACAGCUAGGAUGUUGGCUUAGAAGCAGCCAUCAUUUAAAGAAAGNGUAAUAGCUCACUAGUCGAGUCGGCCUGCGCGGAAGAUAUAACGGGGCUAAAAUUAGUCACCGAAGCUGCGGCAUCAGGCGUAUCACUAAUACGCCUUACGAUUAACAACUUGCGNAACGAAAGANAAGCAAGUUGGUCAAGCNCCCAAACCACGUUGAGACGGAAGUCAUGACGGGAAGUGCGGGUUGGGAAUUGAGGAAUAUUAGUGAUACGCCUGUUGGGUAGGGGAGCGUUGUGUAAGCGGAAGAAGGUGUAUUGAGAAGUAUGCUGGACGUAUCACAAGUGCGAAUGCUGACAUAAGUAACGAUAAAACGGGUGAAAAACCCGUUCGCCGGAAGACCAAGGGUUCCUGUCCAACGUUAAUCGGGGCAGGGUGAGUCGGCCCCUAAGGCGAGGCUGAAAAGCGUAGUCGAUGGGAAACGGGUUAAUAUUCCCGUACUUGGUAAAGCUGCGAUGUGGGGACGGAGCAGGUUAGGUUAGCGUACUGUUGGAUAUGUACGUUUAAGUUGGUAGGUGGGGAGCUUAGGCAAAUCCGGGUUCCUAUUAACACUGAGAGAUGAUGACGAGACUCUACGGAGUUGAAGUAACCGAUACCACACUUCCAGGAAAAGCCACUAAGCGAAAGGCUUUACUAAACCGUACUGAAAACCGACACAGGUGGUCAGGUAGAGAAUACUCAGGCGCUUGAGAGAACUCGGGUGAAGGAACUAGGCAAAAUAGCACCGUAACUUCGGGAGAAGGUGCGCCGGCGUAGAUUGUAAGGGCUUGCCCCUGAAGGUUGAACCGGUCGAAGAUACCAGCUGGCUGCAACUGUUUACUAAAAACACAGCACUCUGCAAACACGAAAGUGGAGGUAUAGGGUGUGAUGCCUUGCCCGGUGCUGGAAGGUUAAUUGAUGGUGUAAUCGAAAGAGAAGCUCCUGAUCGAAGCCCCAGUAAACGGCGGCCGUAACUAUAACGGUCCUAAGGUAGCGAAAUUCCUUGUCGGGUAAGUUCCGACCUGCACGAAUGGCAUAAUGAUGGCCAGGCUGUCUCCACCCGAGACUCAGUGAAAUUGAAAUCGCCGUGAAGAUGCGGUGUACCCGCGGCUAGACGGAAAGACCCCGUGAACCUUUACUAUAGCUUGACACUGAACAUUGAAUUUUGAUGUGUAGGAUAGGUGGGAGACUAUGAAGUAGUGACGCCAGUCAUUAUGGAGUCGACGUUGAAAUACCACCCUUUAACGUUUGAUGUUCUAACGAGACAUCGAUUACAGGUGUUCGGACAGUGUCUGGUGGGUAGUUUGACUGGGGCGGUCUCCUCCCAAAGCGUAACGGAGGAGCACGAAGGUUUGCUAAUCACGGUCGGACAUCGUGAGGUUAGUGCAAUGGUAUAAGCAAGCUUAACUGCGAGACGGACAGGUCGGGCAGGUACGAAAGUAGGUCAUAGUGAUCCGGUGGUUCUGCAUGGAAGGGCCAUCGCUCAACGGAUAAAAGGUACUCCGGGGAUAACAGGCUGAUACCGCCCAAGAGUUCAUAUCGACGGCGGUGUUUGGCACCUCGAUGUCGGCUCAUCACAUCCUGGGGCUGAAGUAGGUCCCAAGGGUAUGGCUGUUCGCCAUUUAAAGUGGUACGCGAGCUGGGUUUAGAACGUCGUGAGACAGUUCGGUCCCUAUCUGCCGUGGGCGUAGGAGAAUUGGUUGGGGCUGCUCCUAGUACGAGAGGACCGGAGUGGACGCACCGCUGGUGUUCCGGUUGUGUCGCCAGACGCAUAGCCGGGUAGCUAAGUGCGGGAGAGAUAAGUGCUGAAAGCAUCUAAGCACGAAACUUGCCAAGAGAUGAGUUCUCCCAGACUUUAGGUCUGUAAGGGUUGUUAAAGACUAUGACGUAGAUAGGCGUGGUGUGUAAGCGUAGUGAUAUGUUGAGCUAACACGUACUAAUUGCCCGAGGGGCUUAGCCAUACAACGCUCAAG
RNAcentral lists this ribosomal RNA (3048 nucleotides) under Aggregatibacter actinomycetemcomitans HK1651. Its description in RNAcentral is "bacterial LSU rRNA". It matches the Rfam family "Bacterial large subunit ribosomal RNA". Lineage: Bacteria; Pseudomonadati; Pseudomonadota; Gammaproteobacteria; Pasteurellales; Pasteurellaceae. The record is from RNAcentral.